UUUGGUUUCGGCGGGUUGCCGCCGGAUUGAAAGGGAACUGCGGUGCGCCAUCCGGCAAGGCCGCGGCUGCCCCCGCAACUGUAAGCGGUGAGCGAAGGCCGAACAUGUCACUGGGGGCAGCCCCGGGAAGGCCGGUCCAAGCCCUGACCCGCAAGCCAGGAGACCUGCCAGAGCG
This 175-nucleotide non-coding RNA is filed under the name uncultured Paracoccus sp. The record is from RNAcentral. Lineage: Bacteria; Pseudomonadati; Pseudomonadota; Alphaproteobacteria; Rhodobacterales; Paracoccaceae.